GGAGGGGUGGCUGAGCGGUCGAAAGCACUGGUCUUGAAAACCAGCGAAGGGCAACCUUCCGUGGGUUCGAAUCCCACCCCCUCCGCCA
This 88-nucleotide transfer RNA is filed under the name Pseudomonadales bacterium. RNAcentral describes it as "tRNA-Ser". It matches the Rfam family "tRNA". From Rfam's summary of the family: Transfer RNA (tRNA) molecules are approximately 80 nucleotides in length. Their secondary structure includes four short double-helical elements and three loops (D, anti-codon, and T loops). The record is from RNAcentral. Lineage: Bacteria; Pseudomonadati; Pseudomonadota; Gammaproteobacteria; Pseudomonadales.